UGUACGUAGAGGUAGAACUGUAGAAGACCUUCAAGUGGAUUUAUCUUCAGGAAAUCAGGAAUUCUAUAUUGUAUAUUUGGGUGAUUCACCAGUUUUUAAGGAUUCCAUUGUUGAUUCACAUAUCAAUCUUCUGCCAGAUGUUGUUGGAAGGUGCAUGCAUUUUCUUAUCACCCUGGAAUUAUUACCUCGUGCACUUUUAAUUUGUCAGACAAUCCAAGAUGUUAAUAUUAAUUUGAUGAUGAUCAUAAAACGGCGAGCUUGCUGCAAAGGAUUCGAUCGUACACAGUUACGUCAACAACUUUAAUGCAUUCGCCGCAAAGUUAUCACCUGACGAAGCUAAGCAACUAGAAAGUUCGAGAGGUCUUGUUUCGGUGUUUCCUAAUCAACAAAGAAAACUUCAUACAACAAAAACAUGGGAUUUCUUGGGAUUUCCUCAAAAUGUUAAAAGAAAAGCGAAACUGGAGAGCAACUUAGUUGCGGGCUUAAUAGAUACAGGGAUUACACCGGUAUCUGAGAGCUUUAAUGACAAAGGGUUUGGUGCUCCACCAGCUAAAUGGAAGGGAUCUUGUUGCCCUUAUGCCAAUUUUUCUUGCAACAACGUUACUUGGUCUUAUCAACACUUGUGACACCACAAGUGCUGCUGACAUGGAUUAGAAGAUCAAAAUUCAAGACU
Molecule: RNA transcript, 673 nt
Organism: Papaver somniferum (opium poppy)
Lineage: Eukaryota; Viridiplantae; Streptophyta; Magnoliopsida; Ranunculales; Papaveraceae
Gene name: subtilisin-like protease SBT4.8
Exons: 5
Source: RefSeq, a predicted model, not a curated record